CCUAGGGGAGGCAGCAGUGAGGAAUUUUGCGCAAUGGGCGAAAGCCUGACGCAGCGACGCCGCGUGGAGGAUGACGGCCUUCGGGUUGUAAACUCCUGUCAGGGGUGAAGAAACUUCGCAAGAAGCUGACGGUAACCCCAGAGGAAGCCCCGGCUAACUACGUGCCAGCAGCCGCGGUAAUACGUAGGGGGCAAGCGUUGCUCGGAAUUACUGGGCGGAAGGGGUGUGUAGGUGGCUGAUUAAGUUAAGGAUGAAAUCCCGAGGCUCAACUUCGGAACUGUCCUUGAUACGGGUCAGCUUGAGGUGAGUAAAGGGGAGCGGAAUUCCCGGUGGAGCGGUGAAAUGCGUAGAUAUCGUGAGGAACACCAGAGGCGUAGGCGGUUCUCUAGGCUAGUCCUGACACUGAGACACGAAAGCUAGGGGAGCAAACG
RNAcentral lists this ribosomal RNA (431 nucleotides) under uncultured prokaryote. RNAcentral's name for it is "bacterial SSU rRNA". It matches the Rfam family "Bacterial small subunit ribosomal RNA", at positions 338 to 774 of the family's 1533-position model. The record is from RNAcentral.